RNAcentral lists this ribosomal RNA (477 nucleotides) under uncultured bacterium. Its description in RNAcentral is "bacterial SSU rRNA". It matches the Rfam family "Bacterial small subunit ribosomal RNA", at positions 43 to 507 of the family's 1533-position model. The record is from RNAcentral.
CGUGCUUAACACAUGCAAGUCGAACGGUAGAACCAACGGGCGUUNCCCUCGGGGAGUCAGUGGCGAACGGGUGAGUAACACGUGGGCAACCUGCCCCUGACUCUGGGAUAACUCCUCGAAAGAAGUGCUAAUACCGGAUACGACCACUUCGGGCAUCCGAUGGUGGUGGAAAGAAUUUUGGUCAGGGAUGGGCCCACGGCCUAUCAGCUUGUUGGUGGGGUAACGGCCCACCAAGGCGACGACGGGUAGCCGGCCUGAGAGGGCGACCGGCCACACUGGGACUGAGACACGGCCCAGACUCCUACGGGAGGCAGCAGUGGGGAAUAUUGGACAAUGGGCGCAAGCCUGAUCCAGCAAUGCCGCGUGUGUGAAGAAGGCCUGCGGGUUGUAAAGCACUUUUGUUCGGGAAGAAAUCAUGUCGGUUAAUACCCGAUGUGGAUGACGGUACCGGAAUAAGAAGCACCGGCUAACUACGUG